AUGGGCCCGCGGGCCGGGCGGGCUCGGGGCGGCCGGGACGAGGAGGGGCGACGACGAGCUGCGAGCAAAGAUGUGCCCCGGGACCCCCGGCACCUUCCAGUGGAUUUCCUUGCGGAAAGGAUGUUGGCGGUCCCUGUGACCUGUGGAGACACGGCCAGAUCUGCCCUCCAGAUUUAUUAGGAGAAAAACCUUCCCGGAAGCUGCAGAAGGACAAAUACAGAAUCCGUGUCUGGGAGAAACCUCGUGGCCUGGUCUCCAUUAUUUGAGAUGAGUUACAUCUUGGAGGUGAGGACGUGCCUCGUGGUCUAAAGCUUCGGCACAAGGGCCCAACUGGAAUUCCACUUACGGAAGGACAGAAUAACGGGCUCCCAGAUUCACAAGCCCCACCAAGAGGAUCACCCCAGGAACGCUUGGAGGCUGAGGAGUUCACUGAGGCUACUGCAUCUUGAGACUCAGGAUGAAGACCCAGCUUGGGGCUGUCAAAGGUUUUUUGCAUGUCUGACACCCAUGACUCCACCUGGACCUUAUGGCUCCACCCAGAAGCAAUUCAGCCCAACAGGAGGACAGCUUCAACCCAUUACGAUUUCAUCUCUGCCCCAACCACUCAGCAGCAAGCACCUGUUACCUGUCCACCCCCACCCCUUCCCCCAAACUGCCUUUGAAAAAUCCCUAACCUAUGAGCUUUGAAUAAGAUGAGUACGAACUUCAUCGCCCACGUGGCGUGGCCGGCCUCGUGUCUAUUAAAUUCUUUUUCUACUACAA
This is a long non-coding RNA of Homo sapiens (human), 762 nucleotides long. Ensembl annotates it as Pvt1 oncogene. Its record names the gene PVT1. NCBI's taxonomy places the organism in Eukaryota, Metazoa, Chordata, Mammalia, Primates, Hominidae. The record is from Ensembl.